UUAAGCGACUAAGCGUACACGGUGGAUGCCCUGGCAGUCAGAGGCGAUGAAGGACGUGCUAAUCUGCGAUAAGCGUCGGUAAGGUGAUAUGAACCGUUAUAACCGGCGAUUUCCGAAUGGGGAAACCCAGUGUGAUUCGUCACACUAUCAUUAACUGAAUCCAUAGGUUAAUGAGGCGAACCGGGGGAACUGAAACAUCUAAGUACCCCGAGGAAAAGAAAUCAACCGAGAUUCCCCCAGUAGCGGCGAGCGAACGGGGAGGAGCCCAGAGCCUGAAUCAGUGUGUGUGUUAGUGGAAGCGUCUGGAAAGGCGCGCGAUACAGGGUGACAGCCCCGUACACAAAAAUGCACAUGCUGUGAGCUCGAUGAGUAGGGCGGGACACGUGGUAUCCUGUCUGAAUAUGGGGGGACCAUCCUCCAAGGCUAAAUACUCCUGACUGACCGAUAGUGAACCAGUACCGUGAGGGAAAGGCGAAAAGAACCCCGGCGAGGGGAGUGAAAAAGAACCUGAAACCGUGUACGUACAAGCAGUGGGAGCCUCUUUAUGGGGUGACUGCGUACCUUUUGUAUAAUGGGUCAGCGACUUAUAUUCUGUAGCAAGGUUAACCGAAUAGGGGAGCCGAAGGGAAACCGAGUCUUAACUGGGCGUUAAGUUGCAGGGUAUAGACCCGAAACCCGGUGAUCUAGCCAUGGGCAGGUUGAAGGUUGGGUAACACUAACUGGAGGACCGAACCGACUAAUGUUGAAAAAUUAGCGGAUGACUUGUGGCUGGGGGUGAAAGGCCAAUCAAACCGGGAGAUAGCUGGUUCUCCCCGAAAGCUAUUUAGGUAGCGCCUCGUGAAUUCAUCUCCGGGGGUAGAGCACUGUUUCGGCAAGGGGGUCAUCCCGACUUACCAACCCGAUGCAAACUGCGAAUACCGGAGAAUGUUAUCACGGGAGACACACGGCGGGUGCUAACGUCCGUCGUGAAGAGGGAAACAACCCAGACCGCCAGCUAAGGUCCCAAAGUCAUGGUUAAGUGGGAAACGAUGUGGGAAGGCCCAGACAGCCAGGAUGUUGGCUUAGAAGCAGCCAUCAUUUAAAGAAAGCGUAAUAGCUCACUGGUCGAGUCGGCCUGCGCGGAAGAUGUAACGGGGCUAAACCAUGCACCGAAGCUGCGGCAGCGACGCUUAUGCGUUGUUGGGUAGGGGAGCGUUCUGUAAGCCUGCGAAGGUGUGCUGUGAGGCAUGCUGGAGGUAUCAGAAGUGCGAAUGCUGACAUAAGUAACGAUAAAGCGGGUGAAAAGCCCGCUCGCCGGAAGACCAAGGGUUCCUGUCCAACGUUAAUCGGGGCAGGGUGAGUCGACCCCUAAGGCGAGGCCGAAAGGCGUAGUCGAUGGGAAACAGGUUAAUAUUCCUGUACUUGGUGUUACUGCGAAGGGGGGACGGAGAAGGCUAUGUUGGCCGGGCGACGGUUGUCCCGGUUUAAGCGUGUAGGCUGGUUUUCCAGGCAAAUCCGGAAAAUCAAGGCUGAGGCGUGAUGACGAGGCACUACGGUGCUGAAGCAACAAAUGCCCUGCUUCCAGGAAAAGCCUCUAAGCAUCAGGUAACAUCAAAUCGUACCCCAAACCGACACAGGUGGUCAGGUAGAGAAUACCAAGGCGCUUGAGAGAACUCGGGUGAAGGAACUAGGCAAAAUGGUGCCGUAACUUCGGGAGAAGGCACGCUGAUAUGUAGGUGAAGCGACUUGCUCGUGGAGCUGAAAUCAGUCGAAGAUACCAGCUGGCUGCAACUGUUUAUUAAAAACACAGCACUGUGCAAACACGAAAGUGGACGUAUACGGUGUGACGCCUGCCCGGUGCCGGAAGGUUAAUUGAUGGGGUUAGCGGUAACGCGAAGCUCUUGAUCGAAGCCCCGGUAAACGGCGGCCGUAACUAUAACGGUCCUAAGGUAGCGAAAUUCCUUGUCGGGUAAGUUCCGACCUGCACGAAUGGCGUAAUGAUGGCCAGGCUGUCUCCACCCGAGACUCAGUGAAAUUGAACUCGCUGUGAAGAUGCAGUGUACCCGCGGCAAGACGGAAAGACCCCGUGAACCUUUACUAUAGCUUGACACUGAACAUUGAGCCUUGAUGUGUAGGAUAGGUGGGAGGCUUUGAAGUGUGGACGCCAGUCUGCAUGGAGCCGACCUUGAAAUACCACCCUUUAAUGUUUGAUGUUCUAACGUUGGCCCCUAAUCGGGGUUGCGGACAGUGUCUGGUGGGUAGUUUGACUGGGGCGGUCUCCUCCUAAAGAGUAACGGAGGAGCACGAAGGUUGGCUAAUCCUGGUCGGACAUCAGGAGGUUAGUGCAAUGGCAUAAGCCAGCUUGACUGCGAGCGUGACGGCGCGAGCAGGUGCGAAAGCAGGUCAUAGUGAUCCGGUGGUUCUGAAUGGAAGGGCCAUCGCUCAACGGAUAAAAGGUACUCCGGGGAUAACAGGCUGAUACCGCCCAAGAGUUCAUAUCGACGGCGGUGUUUGGCACCUCGAUGUCGGCUCAUCACAUCCUGGGGCUGAAGUAGGUCCCAAGGGUAUGGCUGUUCGCCAUUUAAAGUGGUACGCGAGCUGGGUUUAGAACGUCGUGAGACAGUUCGGUCCCUAUCUGCCGUGGGCGCUGGAGAACUGAGGGGGGCUGCUCCUAGUACGAGAGGACCGGAGUGGACGCAUCACUGGUGUUCGGGUUGUCAUGCCAAUGGCACUGCCCGGUAGCUAAAUGCGGAAGAGAUAAGUGCUGAAAGCAUCUAAGCACGAAACUUGCCCCGAGAUGAGUUCUCCCUGACUCCUUGAGAGUCCUGAAGGAACGUUGAAGACGACGACGUUGAUAGGCCGGGUGUGUAAGCGCAGCGAUGCGUUGAGCUAACCGGUACUAAUGAACCGUGAGGCUUAACCUU
This 2903-nucleotide ribosomal RNA is filed under the name Escherichia coli. Its description in RNAcentral is "bacterial LSU rRNA". It matches the Rfam family "Bacterial large subunit ribosomal RNA". The record is from RNAcentral. Lineage: Bacteria; Pseudomonadati; Pseudomonadota; Gammaproteobacteria; Enterobacterales; Enterobacteriaceae.